RNAcentral lists this ribosomal RNA (402 nucleotides) under uncultured eukaryote. RNAcentral describes it as "SSU rRNA". It matches the Rfam family "Eukaryotic small subunit ribosomal RNA", at positions 592 to 990 of the family's 1831-position model. The record is from RNAcentral.
CAAUAGCGUAUAUUAAAGUUGUUGCAGUUAAAAAGCUCGUAGUUGGAUUUCUGGUACAAUGCGCCUGGCCCGCGACCGUCAGGUCUGUGAGUGCCGGUGCGCGUUUGCCAUCCUUCUAGAAAACGUCUCUACUCGGGCAACUGAGCCGGAUUCGCGAUCUAGAUCUUUUACUUUGAAAAAUUAGAGUGUUUAAAGCAGGCUAUUGCCUUGAAUACAUUAGCAUGGAAUAAUAAUCUAGGACUUCGGUUCUAUUUUGUGGUUUCUAGUACUGAAGUAAUGAUUGAUAGGGAUAGUUGGGGGUGCUAGUAUUGACCGGCCAGAGGUGAAAUUCUUGGAUUCGGUCAAGACUAACUUAUGCGAAAGCAUUCACCAAGGAUGUCUUCUUUAAUCAAGAACGAAAGU